RNAcentral lists this non-coding RNA (215 nucleotides) under Thiohalomonas denitrificans. The record is from RNAcentral. Lineage: Bacteria; Pseudomonadati; Pseudomonadota; Gammaproteobacteria; Thiohalomonadales; Thiohalomonadaceae.
CGAAUCCCGCAUGGCAGAGCCUAACCAGCAGCCAUAAGCGAGUCUUGCGUCGGGUUGGGGCAACCCACACGGCGAAGCGUAGAUAGCGAACCUGAAAGCAGUGCUAUUGAACUUCGCAAUUUACAUCGCAGACGCCUUUGCUUUAACCCAGGCGGGGGCCGCGUUGAUGUGGCGUAUCGGUUAGCCACGGGCAAGUCUGCCGAGUCGCGGGAACA